GAUGAACGCUGGCGGCGUGCCUAACACAUGCAAGUCGAACGGAAAGGCCCUGCUUUUGUGGGGUGCUAGAGUCGCGCACGGGUGUGUAACACGUGAGUAACCUUCCCUUGACUUUGGGAUAACUGCAGGAAACUGGGGCUAAUACCGAAUAGGUGCUCCUGCUGCAUGGUGGUGGUUGGAACGUUUCGGCGGUUGGGGAUGUACUUCCGGUUUAUCAGCUUGUUGGUGGAGUAGUGGCUUACCCAGGCUUUGGCGGAUAGCCGGCAUGAGAAGGUGACCGGCGACAUUAGGACUGAGAGAGGCAGCAGACUCCUACGGGAGGCAGCGGUGGGGAAUAUGGCACAGUGAUGGGGAGUCUGAUGCGGCAACGUCGCGAGCGGGAUGACGGCCUUGGGGUGGUGAACCGCUUUCACCUGUGACGAAGCGUGUGUGACGGUAAUGAGUAAAGAAGCACCGGCUAACUACGUG
Molecule: ribosomal RNA, 468 nt
Filed under: uncultured bacterium
Lineage: Bacteria
Description: partial 16S ribosomal RNA
Rfam family: Bacterial small subunit ribosomal RNA
Source: RNAcentral